UACAGAGACCCCAAGCGUUAUCCGGAAUUAUUGGGCGUAAAGGGUGUGUAGGUUGUUUUGUUAGUCCUAUGUCAAAGGCCGAGGCCCAACCUCGGUUUCGCAUAGGAAACGGCAGAACUAGAGAGUGAGAGAGGUCUACGGAACCCAUAGUGUAGGGGUGAAAUCCGUUGAUAUUAUGGGGAACACCAAAGGCGAAGGCAGUAGGCUGGCUCACUUCUGACACUGAAACACGAAAGCCAGGGUAGCAAAUGGG
This 253-nucleotide unclassified non-coding RNA is filed under the name uncultured Parcubacteria group bacterium. Its description in RNAcentral is "contains 16S-23S intergenic spacer region". It matches the Rfam family "Bacterial small subunit ribosomal RNA", at positions 524 to 776 of the family's 1533-position model. The record is from RNAcentral.